Molecule: non-coding RNA, 79 nt
Organism: Phytophthora infestans T30-4
Lineage: Eukaryota; Oomycota; Peronosporomycetes; Peronosporales; Peronosporaceae
Source: the annotation of a RefSeq genome assembly
GGUCGUAAAAAUAGCUCAGUCGGUAGAGCACAGUGCUAAUAACGCUGGCGGUCCAGGGUUCGAAGCCCCUGUAUGACCA